RNAcentral lists this ribosomal RNA (497 nucleotides) under uncultured bacterium. RNAcentral describes it as "partial 16S ribosomal RNA". It matches the Rfam family "Bacterial small subunit ribosomal RNA", at positions 28 to 507 of the family's 1533-position model. The record is from RNAcentral.
GAUGAACGCUGGCGGCGUGCCUAAUACAUGCAAGUCGAGCGAACGGACGAGAAGCUUGCUUCUCUGAUGUUAGCGGCGGACGGGUGAGUAACACGUGGAUAACCUACCUAUAAGACUGGGAUAACUUCGGGAAACCGGAGCUAAUACCGGAUAAUAUUUUGAACCGCAUGGUUCAAAAGUGAAAGACGGUCUUGCUGUCACUUAUAGAUGGAUCCGCGCUGCAUUAGCUAGUUGGUAAGGUAACGGCUUACCAAGGCAACGAUGCAUAGCCGACCUGAGAGGGUGGUCGGCCACCCUAGAACUGAGACACGGUCCAGACUACUACGGGAGGCAGCAGUAGGGAAUCUUCCGCAAUGGGCGAAAGCCUGACGGAGCAACGCCGCGUGAGUGAUGAAGGUCUUCGGAUCGUAAAACUCUGUUAUUAGGGAAGAACAUAUGUGUAAGUAACUGUGCACAUCUUGACGGUACCUAAUCAGAAAGCCACGGCUAACUACGUG